CCCUUGGCUUUGGAGAUUAGCCCUCUGCAGCCGCCAGGUGCGUAUAUAUGGAGCGAGGGGGAGGAGGCUCCAGUUUCCCUCGUUAUUUUAAGCGAACGCUCCAAUCUAUUGUUUGGAUAAGGUUGAGAAAAGCGCUCCUACCAGGACGCGGCGGCGACUUAAACAAAACCGGGCUCGAGGCCGACAGAAGCCAGACGGCCCCGGGAGCGCCACCGCCGAGGGAAGCCAAGAGCUGCCUGCGAGGGGAAACCCGCGGCUCGGCCCCAAUGUGGGCAACCACCAGGGCCGGGGAGGAGCUCCAAAACCCCACAGGUAGCAAAGCAGCGGGAGCAGCAGGGACCUGGAUAUCCCCAAAUCGAGGGAUCGAGGCUGGGGCUGCCGGGACAGCGGAGCUUUGGGCAACCCAGCUCCCUCGCAGGCAGUUAUUGAGGCUGGAGGGCGACGGCUCAGACCGCUCUGCUCUCAGAGUGAGAAAACCAAAGCAAGGGCCUGGCAGAGCACAAAUCGAGCCGCUACUUCAAGCCAUUACCCACAGCAAAACGCGCCCCACGCCUGGACCGUGCAGAAGCCGCAAGGAGCUCUCAAGCCUCACUUAAGCCCCAGUAAUAGGAGGGGAAUUUUGCUGGCUUGGGGCAUAAAGGCGAGUGUCACGGUUCGGAGGAACCUCUCGGCAGGACGAGCUCCUUGUCCGUCCCCGCCACAGAGAUGCCUUUAAUCUCAGCUUAAAAUAUUCUGACGUGGCGGGGGAAAAAA
Oxyura jamaicensis (ruddy duck) is the source of this 753-nucleotide long non-coding RNA. RefSeq lists it as uncharacterized. The record is from RefSeq and is a predicted model, not a curated record. The transcript has 2 exons. Lineage: Eukaryota; Metazoa; Chordata; Aves; Anseriformes; Anatidae.